RNAcentral lists this ribosomal RNA (682 nucleotides) under uncultured bacterium. RNAcentral describes it as "bacterial SSU rRNA". It matches the Rfam family "Bacterial small subunit ribosomal RNA", at positions 25 to 706 of the family's 1533-position model. The record is from RNAcentral.
CAGGAUGAACGCUGGAGGCGUGCUUAACACAUGCAAGUCGAACGAAGCACUUGAAACGGAUUCUUCGGAUGAAGUUUCCUGUGACUGAGUGGCGGACGGGUGAGUAACGCGUGGGUAACCUGCCUUAUACAGGGGGAUAACAGUCAGAAAUGGCUGCUAAUACCGCAUAAGCGCACAGAGCUGCAUGGCUCAGUGUGAAAAACUCCGGUGGUAUAAGAUGGACCCGCGUUGGAUUAGCUAGUUGGCAGGGCAACGGCCUACCAAGGCGACGAUCCAUAGCCGGCCUGAGAGGGUGGACGGCCACAUUGGGACUGAGACACGGCCCAGACUCCUACGGGAGGCAGCAGUGGGGAAUAUUGCACAAUGGGGGAAACCCUGAUGCAGCGACGCCGCGUGAGCGAAGAAGUAUUUCGGUAUGUAAAGCUCUAUCAGCAGGGAAGAAAAUGACGGUACCUGACUAAGAAGCCCCGGCUAACUACGUGCCAGCAGCCGCGGUAAUACGUAGGGGGCAAGCGUUAUCCGGAUUUACUGGGUGUAAAGGGAGCGUAGACGGAAUGGCAAGUCUGAUGUGAAAGGCCGGGGCUCAACCCCGGGACUGCAUUGGAAACUGCCAAUCUAGAGUACCGGAGGGGUAAGUGGAAAUUCCUAGUGUAGCGGUGAAAUGCGUAGAUAUUAGGAGGGA